Non-coding RNA from Plectosphaerella cucumerina, 83 nucleotides. NCBI's taxonomy places the organism in Eukaryota, Fungi, Ascomycota, Sordariomycetes, Glomerellales, Plectosphaerellaceae. The record is from the annotation of a GenBank genome assembly.
GACUGCGUGGCGCAGUGGAAGCGCGUUGUGCUCACAUUCUGUGAGAGCCACAAAGGCCCGUGGAUCGAAACCGCGCGUGGUCA